UNGANGCUGGCGGCGGCCUAAACAUGCAAGUCGAGCGGUAACAGANAGUAGCUUGCUACUUUGCUGACGAGCGGCGGACGGGUGAGUAAUGCUUGGGAACAUGCCUUGAGGUGGGGGACAACAGUUGGAAACGACUGCUAAUACCGCAUAAUGUCUACGGACCAAAGGGGGCUUCGGCUCUCGCCUUUAGAUUGGCCCAAGUGGGAUUAGCUAGUUGGUGAGGUAAUGGCUCACCAAGGCGACGAUCCCUAGCUGGUUUGAGAGGAUGAUCAGCCACACUGGGACUGAGACACGGCCCAGACUCCUACGGGAGGCAGCAGUGGGGAAUAUUGCACAAUGGGCGCAAGCCUGAUGCANCCNUGCCGCGUGUGUNAAAAAGGCCUUCNGNUUGNAAAGCACUUU
Molecule: ribosomal RNA, 402 nt
Filed under: Pseudoalteromonas sp. F46p0
Lineage: Bacteria; Pseudomonadati; Pseudomonadota; Gammaproteobacteria; Alteromonadales; Pseudoalteromonadaceae
Description: partial 16S ribosomal RNA
Rfam family: Bacterial small subunit ribosomal RNA
Source: RNAcentral